GUCGCCACCAUCUGCCCGAGACUGAGAAACAGCACCCUCGCUGGGUCCCCGCAGACCCGGCACCUGAGACGGGGCUGCAAGGAGUGGAGAGUGGAGGGGUCUCCGGGGAGAGCUCAGGCCCCCACGUCUGCGUCCUCCCCUUCUUGCCUCAGCUCUCACGGGGAAACCCGGGGCCGACUGACCCGGGACGCUGACAUAUGGGCGGCCUCUGGGCAUGGACUGGCCUUGGAACACUGAGCACCCACACCUGCACCCAAAAGCACUCACUGGGCUGUAGCUCUGGGCUACACGGGAUCCCUGCGGUGUGCCCCUGCCCCAUGGUGAGUGGAAGCCCACUCUGGGCAAGCCCACCUCUCCCCGGCUGCCACGGGCCUAGAGACCGGCCGGUCUGCACCACAUCCGAGGCCCCGUGAUCACCCCAGUCUCAGGAGGGUCAAUGCUGGAAUUCCAGUGGCCUGGCCUUGACUGACCUCUGUCUCCCUUCUUGUGAUCACCGGAUAGUGGCCAGCACAUGUCAUCCAAUUCUAGCUGUGUCCAUUGCUGCUGCCAGUGUCCAAACUACAUUCUCAAGUGCUCCCCCUCAGACUCACCUGUGAUGUCGGCAUGCAUUUGCACGAAGAGGG
This is a long non-coding RNA of Sorex araneus (European shrew), 623 nucleotides long. RefSeq lists it as uncharacterized. The transcript is spliced from 4 exons. NCBI's taxonomy places the organism in Eukaryota, Metazoa, Chordata, Mammalia, Eulipotyphla, Soricidae. The record is from RefSeq and is a predicted model, not a curated record.